This 305-nucleotide ribosomal RNA is filed under the name uncultured bacterium. Its description in RNAcentral is "bacterial SSU rRNA". It matches the Rfam family "Bacterial small subunit ribosomal RNA", at positions 335 to 639 of the family's 1533-position model. The record is from RNAcentral.
UGCCUACGGGACGCAGCAGUGAGGAAUAUUGGUCAAUGGGCGCUAGCCUGAACCAGCCAAGUAGCGUGAAGGAUGACUGCCCUAUGGGUUGUAAACUUCUUUUAUAUGGGAAUAAAGUGCAGUAUGUAUACUGCUUUGCAUGUACCUUAUGAAUAAGGAUCGGCUAACUCCGUGCCAGCAGCCGCGGUAAUACGGAGGAUCCGAGCGUUAUCCGGAUUUAUUGGGUUUAAAGGGUGCGUAGGCGGACUGGAAAGUCAGCGGUAAAAUCGAGAGGCUCAACCUCUUUCCGCCGUUGAAACUGUCGG